CUCCUUCUCUUGCUGAGUCAUGAUAGAUAGUGUGUGCUUUCAGAGACCAUGUGUCUUCCUAUCUCCCUGUUCUGAAAGGUCCUGCCUUCCUGUUUCUCCCAGGGCCACAGCGCCUGCCAUGUGUCUGGAUGCCCUUCCCCUGUCUCCAGCAUCACUGGGCUCUCCACAAUCAGAGGUCUAGCCAAGUGCCUCGGGGAGGACAGAGCCCGCUGGGGUGGCGGUCUCCCACUCUGCUGAGGGGUGCAGGGUUGCUUGCGGUGAGUUGGUGCUGGAAUGGCUCGUGGGGGGGGAGCCAGUGGGCAAAUUGCUAUUCAGGAAGAACAGACACCUUUAGCUACUAGUCCUUGACUGUCAGGGAUGGAGAUGCUGCUGCCUACAGUACCUAGUAGGCUUCGCUGGGUGGUUGUGAGGCUCCUGUUGAGCUCCUGUCAGGAAAGCUCUCAGCAGAUUUUGAAUCCUUUGCAGAGAUUUCCUUUCUUUCUUUGUUCCCCGCCUUUGCCCCUCCGGUAUACAGGAAAAAGUGCUUAUUAAUAUGUAAAUGUCAUGGUUGUUCUGAGUUGGGCCUUUUUAUUAUUUUAACUUCCCGGAUAAAUAUUGUAGAAAGAGGACUGGAUUUGGAAUCAGAGGACUUGGGACUGUGUUAGUGCGGGUAAAUCCCUUCAUUUCCCUGUUUCCUCUUGAAAAAAAAAUGAGAGCAUUAGAACAAAGGGACCUCUCAGAUCUCUUACAAUUCUUAGCCUUUGCUCCUAUAACUCCCCUGUGUUCUCAUAGGCACUAUGGGGGGAAGGCUUCUUUAAAGAGCUGGGAUUUUAGCUUAAAUGAGCUUCCUUCAUAUCCCAUCUUAUGGUAACUAACAUUUAUAUACAUAUGUAUAUGAAUAUACACAAUGCAUGUAUAUAUGUGCACCUAAAUAUAUUUAUACCUACACACAAAUAUGUGUGUAUAUACAAACAUACACAUAUUUACAUUUAUAUAUACACAGAAUAUAUAUGUAUCUACAUAUGUACACAUACAUAUAUAUUUAUAUACAUAUAAUACAGAUAUAUGUGUGCAUAUACAUACAUAUACACAUUUAUAUUUAUAUAUAUACAGAAUAUAUAUAAAUGUCUACAUAUAUUUAUACAUAUAAUAUAAUAUGCACAUUUACAUUUAUAUAUACACAGAAUAUAUGUAAAUAUGUCUACAUAUAUACACAUAUACAUAUAUAUUUAUAUACAUAUAACACAGAUAAAUAUGUAUAUACAUACAGAUACAUAUUUACAUUUAUAUGUAUGUAUACAGAAUAUAUAUAAAUGUCUACAUAUAUUUAUAUAUACACAGAAUAUAUGUAUAUAUGUGUCUACAUAUAUACACUUACAUAUAUAUUUAUAUACAUAUAAUACAAAUAUAUGUGUGUAUAUACAUAAAUUAUGUUUAUGCAUAUAGUCCAUCUAGCUCCAUGUAUUGAUUGCCAAUAUUUAAAUGUCUUCUCCUACAAGAAGCCUUUCUCACGCCCCUUAGUGUGGGUGCCUUGAUUAUCUCCUGCAUUUCCUGUUUGUACACAGUUGUUGGCCAGUUGUCUCCCUGACUACAUAAGACUCUUAGAUUCUGGAAAGCAGGUCUGUAGACCUAGCACUUACUACAGUGUUUGGCAUACAGUGGGCACUUAAUAAAUGCUUAUUGGCUGAACAACUGGCUUUUUGAAAAUCCCUUUACUCUAGACUUGCUUCCCAAAAAGUUUAUCACUUUGAUGUGCUGGUAAAACUUAGAUGAAGCUUAUUUUAGAUCCAUGAAGCAGCAGCAGAAGCAGCUGCCCUCACCAUGGCCCACAGAUCAGUUCCGUCCAGAGCUGAGAUAGGAAAUGAGACAUUUCAGUGGCUGGAGGGGAAACCACAUGGCUCUAGUUCUGCCUGUGGGGGGAACAGAGGGUUACUGAAGGUUAUUUGUACUCUGUGUGUAUGUUCACUCCCGUGCCUUCAUCUUGAAGGGAGAUGGGAGGUCAGGAGAAGGGAGGGAGUAUUGGGAAAGAGUGAGACAAAAUGGACCAAUUAUAGAGUUACUCCUAGUUGCCCUACCCCAGCACAUUUCCUUAAUUCUCUCCAUUCUCCAUCAUCUGAACUUGCUUCUUUUCAGGAGCUGAGACUCCUACAAAACUACUUCCACCUCCUGACAUCCCUCCCUGAUUUCCUUCGGAACUCAGCUCAGUACUACCUUCUUCCUCAAGGUUUCCUGGUCAACCAGCUUCCCUUUCUGAAGUUAGCUAGUUGGUGAUUUGCAUGUUUCUUGCAUCUAAGUUUGAAUAUGGUGCCUUCCCCAUUAGAAUAAAAACUCCUGAAAGGCAGGAACACUUUGUAUCUCCAUCACUUAAACACUUAGGAAUGCUUGCUUGGUUGAUUGAAUCUAAGCCCUUACUUGAAUGGGGUUGUGUUAGGUUCUGUCAGUAAUGAUUAAAGAAAUAACAAAGGGGUUGCAUUAGAUCAUGAGUUCUUAAACUGGCAUUCUUGAACUUGUUUUUAAAAAAUAUUUCAGUUCAAUUAUUCUGUAUAUUAUUUAUAUAUAUUACAUGGAUUUUACUUAUUCCUUUAAAUAAUUUAUUUUGAGGUCCAUAGCCUUAACCAGGUUACCAAAAAAGAUCAUGAACUCUCAAGUAUACAGUGAGAAAUCUGAAUAGGAGGGGGAAGGAGAAAGCAUGAAUUGGGUACCCAAGACAUCAAGGCCAUAGUAAAGAGAAAGGGGGACAGAUGGGGUGGGCUAAGCAAGGUCCCUCCCAGUGAGGGAACAGAAUCCAUAGGGAUAAAGUAGAAGGAAAGAUUUGGAGGAAGUCAGCUAGAGGAGAAUCAGGAGACCCUCCCCCCAUAUCUGUCUGCUGCCUUUUGUGUUCUAUAUUCAAUUGCUGCCCACUAAGGAAAAACAGAAAGAAAAUUUGAAGAAACUGAAUUUCAGAUAAAAAAAUUAGAGCCAUGACCCUAAUUUUAUAGAUGAAGAAACUAAGGAGGGGGAGGCAUUAGAACUACAUGAGCUUCUCUUGGUUCUUGUCUUUUAUUAAAAAUGACAACUUGUAAAUUUCUGUUUAUUUAGUGGGGACUGUGGGUGGCCAGGAAAGACCAAUAAAUUAGCUUUCGGUUGUGGUGAGAAGUAGGUGGGCAUUUGCCCGCCUGUCUCUUUGUCCCCUUCUUUGCCAUCCCCAUGUUCUGAUUCUUCCAUCUCCCUUCUAAGUGCUGUGUAUUGCAAUGGUUUGUUUACCAGCUGCUGGAUUUUCUUGACUUUCAGAGAGUCCCUCAGUCGCUUGUGAUCAGGUUAAUGGACUGGCAUUUGGGGGGGUGCAGGAUGGAGGAGAAAUGCUGUAGACACAGGAUUUCUUGAUUUCAGUAGAGCAUUUGACAGUCUCUUAAUAGUCUUGUGGUCAAGAUGGAGAGAGUGGGACCAGAUCGCUGUUUUCCAACCUGAGGGCUGAGAAGUUUAUUACAAGGAGCCAGAGAAUCCAUAUGCGUACCAAGCAUUGUCAUUUUGAUCUUUAUUUAGCUCUAGCAAAAUAAGCAGCAUGACUCAGGAGAAUAAAUAAGCAAACAUGCUUUCUGCAGAGUGCAUAAAUAACGUCUCACACAUAUAUGUAUUGCUAUUUUUCUACUAUAUCUGGGUGCUCUUGGGAGGAAUGAAUGAAUGAAAAAUCAUUUAUUAAGCAUGGACUCCGUGCCAAACACUGUGCUAAAUGCUGGGGAUGCAAAUACAAAAUUGAAGGCAGUCUGCCUCUUCAAGGAGCUUCUGUUCUACUAAUAAGACAACUCAUAUUGGGGAGUAUUGGAGAGGGAAGCUUUUGGACUUGGAAGGGAUGGUGGAUAAAGCCAUAGAGAUCGACAUCUCCUCGUCACAAAUGUUAUUUAGAAUUUUUAGUGAAAUCAGAGUAGAUUUUUGUCCCUUGUAAUGGAUGUAGAGCUGGUUUGGAAGUCAGUUAGGAAGUUCUGGGUUUGAGGCUCAGGUCUUCUGAUUCAGAUCGAUAGCGUCAUGCCCUUAACUUCUUAGUACUUUCAGCAACUCUCUGGCUAUCUUGCAUUAAUAGAGGGAAUUUUCUAACCUGGGAGUUCCUAUAGUAAUGAAGUCACAGAUCUCCUCUUAAUCCUUGUUUUUCCAGUUAAUGCUUCCUAAUAGUACAAUUAUUAUAAUGCCAAUACUAAUAUUGGUUAGCAUGUGUGCAAUAAUACAUUUAUUUAUCACUUACUCUGUGUCAGGUAUUGCACUAAGUGGCUUUAAAAUAAUAAUAAUAAUUCUAUUAAUAAUAGCUAGUAUUUUAUAGUAUUUAUUAUGUGCCAAGCACUGUGCUAAAUGCUUCAUCAUCAUUAUCAUCAUCCUCCUAAAUAACAACAUUUAUAUAGCAUUUCCUUACCAUGUGGCAAACACUGUGCUUGAGGUACAUAAUAAUAAUAAUAAUUAUAGCCAAUAUUUCUGUAGUGCUUAUUAUAGGCCAGGCACUAUGCUAAAUUCAUCAUCAUCAUCAUCAUCAUCAACAACAACAGCAACAUUUAUAUAGCAUUUGCUUGCUAUAUGGCAAACACUGUGCUUAAGUCCAUAAGAAUAAUAAUAGCCAAUAUUUCUGUAGUGCUGAUUAUGGUCCAGGAACUAUGCUAAGUGCAUAAUAAUAAUAAAGCAUCAAGGACAUUUAUAUAAUACUUAACUAUGUGGCAGCCACUGUGCUAAGUGCAUAUAAUAAUAAUAUGAUAAUAAUAACUAAUAUUUCUCUGAUGCUUAUUAUGAGCCAGGCAGUAUGCUAAAUACACAAUAAUAAUAAUAAUAAUAAUAACAGAAUGUAUAUAGCACUUAUCAUGCGCUAGCCACUAUGCUAAGUGCUUUAGAAUUAUUAUGUCAUUUUAUUUAUUUAUUUAUUAUCUCAUAUUAUCUCUCAUUUGAGAAAGUGCGCUUUACAUAUAUGCUAACUUAUUUGACAUUAUAAUUUUGGAAAAUCUGUAAAAUAUUUUUACAUAUUAUAAAAAGGUUUUUUUUUUUUCUCUAUUUGCCUAGUCUGGGAACCACUGUGGUAAGUAAUAAUAGAAUUAAACCCUAGACCAAUGUAGUCCAGUCCUGCCAUUUUUAACAGUUGAAGAAGCUACAGCCCAAAGACCAUCAGACCUUUUUUCUACUUUAACACGCUGUCUCAUUCUUUAGUAGAUAUGGAACUGGUUGAAUGACUAGGCCCAGAUACAGGCCAAUAAUGAAUCGGUGUCAACCUGGAGGGAGGUCUCUGUUGCAGUGCCCAAAGAGUUGUCCUUUGCCCUGUUCUGUUCAACAUUUUUCUCAAUGGUUUCAAUGAAGGCAGAGAUGUCAUGCUUUGUCAAAUUUGUGGAUGACAUGAAGCUGGAGCAGAGAGCUGCCACAUGGAUAACAGCGUCAGGAUUCACAGAGAUCUUAAUAUAAGGCCAGAAUGAUGGGCAAAAUCUACUGAGAUGCAGUUCGGUAGGGAUAAAUAGAAAGAUUCCUGGGUUUUUAAAAAAAUGACAUUCGGAAAAGGAUAGCAUGGAAGGGAGGCGAUGGAAUGGUUUCUAUGAAAGGGUUUUUAUUUUUUAUGGAUUGCAAAUUUAAUAUAAAUCAAUAGUAGGAUAUUUUCCUUCCCCCUCCCUCCAAAAUCUGGAAUGAUCUUAUGCUUCAUUAAUAGAGUAUGUAGAGAAUUCAUAAGAUAACAUGUAAAGUACUUUGUAAACCUUAAAGCUUUAUAUAAACGCUAUUCCUCCUUCUCUUUCUCUGCCUUUUUUUCCCUCCUCCUCCUCUGCCUUCUCCUGUUCCUUCUUUUUUCUUUUUUUCUUUUUUCUUCAUCUUAUUCCCCCGAAUAAAGUAGAUAGUAGCUCUACUAGGCUCUGUCCUGGUUGGAUCACAUUAAAAAAAAAACAAACAUUUUUAAUUCUGGACACCCAUGUUGAUAAACCAGAAGGAAAGAGGGAAGGAAGCAAGCAUUUAUUAAACAUCUACUAUAUUCCAGGCCCUCUGCUAAGCACUUCACAAACUUCUCAUUUAAUCCUCACAACUACUCUGGGAGUUAGAUAGUAGUUAUUAUCCCCAUUUCAUUGAGGCAGGCAGAGAUUUAGGGAGUUGCCCACGGUCAUACAACUAAAUACCUGGAGUCAAAUUUGAACUCAGUUCUUCCUAACACCAGUAAUAAUAAUAAUAAUAAUAACAUUAAUUUAAAUAAUAUUUUAUAAUAAUUUAUUAAUAAUGAUAGCUAACAUGCUUGGGUACUGUGCUAAAUAUUUAUAAUUCUUAUCUCAUUUACUGCUCACAAUAACUCUAGGAGGUAGGUAGCUGUUAUUACUAAUAUUACAUUUUACAGAUUGGGAAACCUGAGGCAAGCUGAGGCUGGAUUCGAACUCAUUAUCAUCCUGAUUCCACUGAAUUACCUAGUUGGAAUACAGGAUGUUACAGGAUGAUGAGAGUACUGGAAGCCAUUCCAGGAGAUAAUGGAUGGAUUGAGAACCUUGAGGGUUUAUAACCUGAAGAAGGUAGUGGUACUUCAGUAGCCUUCCAAUAUGUGAAGCACUGUCUUUUUUUUUUUUCUUUUUUUUUAAUUAUAGCUUUUUUAUUUACAAGUUAUAUGCAUGGGUAAUUUUUCCGCAUUGAGAAUUGCGAAACCUUUUGUUCUAACUUUUUCCCUCCUUCCCCCCACCCCUUCCCUCAGAAGGCAGGUUGACCAAUGCAUGUUAAAUAUGUUAAGGUAUAAGUUAAAUACAGUAUAAGUAUACAUGUCCAAACAGUUAUUUUGCUGUACAAAAAGAGUCAGACUUUGAAAUAGUAUACAAUACUAUGAAGGAAAUCAAAAAUGCAGGCGGAUAAAAAUAUAGGGAUUUGGGAUUCUAUGUAAUGGUUCAUAGUCAUCUUCCAGAGUUCUUUCGCUGGAUGUAGCUGGUUCAGUUCAUUACUGCUCUAUUGGAAGUGAUUUGAUUCAUCUCAUUGCUGAAGAUGGCCAUGUCCAUCAGAAUUGAUCAUCAUAUAGUAUUGUUGUUGGAGUAUAUAAUGAUGUGAAGCACUGUUUUAUGGGAAAGGGAUUAGAAUUGUUUUGUUUUGCCCCAAGCUGGUGAGUAGAUUUAGCUGAGAGGCAGAUUCUGGAUUAGUUUAAGGUAUGUCUUCCAGAAAGCUGUGUACCAUUUGAAGGGGCUGCCUUGGGGAUUCUUACCACUGCAGGCCUUCUGGUCUUGGUUGAAUGACCAAUUGCUGCUAAUUCAGUGGAGAGUGGGGGCUGCUCCCUCCCCCCGCCAUGGCUCUUUCAUUACUGAGAUUCUGUGAUUUUAUGAAGCUCUGAUAAAACUGAGACAGACCUGGGUAGCUUAAAAAGGCCAAGGUCUCCCAUUUUAUUUAUGACCAUCUCCAGUUUCCUGGUCUUUUUAUUUAUUUAGAUAGAUAGAUCUAAAGUAUCUAGAUAUACUUAUUUUAUAUAUAUUAUAUAUGUAUAUGUGUGCAUGUAUAUCUAUAUCUAUAUCUAUAUAAAUAGAGAGAGAGAGGGAAGGGGCUUGGAAUAUAGUAGAUAUUUAAUAAAUGCUUGCUUCCUUUCUUUUUUUCCUUCUGGUUUAUCAAUGUGAGUACCCAGAACUAAACAUGGCAUUUAAAAUGUGAUCCAACACAUAGAUAGAGCAGCCCCCCAUCUCUUUCUCUGUCUCUCUAUAAAAACAUAUUUUAUAUACAUUUAUUUUCUUCUAUAUAUAAUUUUAAUAUAUUGUAGUAUAUCUAUUUUACACACACACAUAUAUUAUCUUUUAUAUAUUAUAUAUUUAUAUGCAAUAUUUUCUUAUAUAUGUUAUUUUAUACAUAUAUUAUCUUAUAUAUCAUAUAUUUUAUAUAUUAUAUAUUUUAUAUACAUAUAUUUUCUUCUAUAUGUAUUAUUUUAUAUUUAUUAUAUAGAUUAUCUUUUUAUAUACUAUUAUAUAUAAUAUAUAUUAUUAUACAUGUAUAAUAUAUAUAUACACAUUAUAUGCAUAUGAAACACAUGCAUAGAUAGUUUUCAGCAUUCACUCCUGCAAAACUCCGUGUUCCAAACCUUUUUUCCUCCUUCCCUUCCCCCCAACUCAAGCAAUCCAAAAUAUGUUUCUUGGUGUGUAUCUGCUCACUGGGCUGGCCCUGGAGGAAGAAUUGAGGCUGGUGACUUUGCAUAACCCUCUCACUUAAAUCCAGUUCACCUCCCCAUCAUGGCAUCACCUCCUAGAUGUCAUGAGGAAGGGCAAACCGUAACAGCCACCUCCUAAUUCUAGAAUUGGAAGGGAACUCAUUUGUCAUCCAUUUUACAGAUGAAUAAACUGAGGCUCUGGGAGUUACUUUAGCAGGAUUUGAGCCCUUUCCUUGCAUACCCGGCACUUACUCUUUCUAAUGCACAAACCUAUUUCUCUCUACUCCAGUGCAUCCUCAUAUAAUGUCCAGCUUGCUUAUAGCAGUUAUUAAAGUGUAAUCUCCUUGAGGGCAGGACAGGGCUAUUUUUUACAGUGUCUUUAUUAUUAUUAUUUAUUAAAUGGCACUUAAUAAAUGCUUAUUGAUUGGCAGUCAUACAAAAGCCAGUGGACUGUCCUCUUCUUUUCCAGUCCCUCUGCGAGUCUCCCUCCAGGACAGUGGCUACAGCAACGUCCACCUCAGUGCUUGGUUGUCUGCAUUCCAGGCCUUUACAGUCUAAAUUACUGUUCACCUUCUUGCUUCUCAUUGUGUCUUGUAGUGCCCAUAAAUGAAGCUGGUGGGGGAGCCUUCCUGUGGAGGGAGCAGGGCCUUUUUCAGGAAGCAUAUGACGGAGGGGCUAGAUUAUCAUAUUUUGAGUUGGGCAACCCCGGCCUAGAUCUACCCUUUCCAUCGAUAAAUAAGCAUUUAUCUAUCUGUCUGUCUAUCUAUCUAUUUCUUUAUUUUGAGCAAUAAGCUGAUAUUUAUCUAAUUAAUUAUAAAAAUAGAUUAUUAGCUUUAAAAGUGAAUAUUCAUUCAAUUUACCUAUGGAGGAUAAUCGUUUUUGCCAGUCUUUUCAGUAGUUAGGUGAUUCAGGCCAAUUUCAAUAGACUUGUGAUGGAGAGAGCCCUCUACGUCCAGAAAGAGCACCAUGGGGCUGAAUCAGUCAGCAUUUAUUAAACACCUACUGUGUGCCAGGCACCAUUCCGUGUCACUGACUACUGUGUGAGAAUAAUGCAGGGAAGGCCUGGGAGCUUAAGUUGGAGUACCGGGCCACUGAUGAUUACUGCCAGGGUAACUGGACAUUUAAUCUCUCUUGACCUGAGUUUCUUUAUCUGUAAAAUUAAGAGCUUUGAGGGACCUUCUAGCUCUCACUGAAUGUGUAUUGUCAGUCAGAUUGAGACGUGUUGAAGACCUGAGCUUACAAAUGCCCAGGUCUCCCAUCCCAUCCAGGGCCCUCUCCAGAUCUGGCCAUUGGACCCAGGGGACUCUGGAGGAGAAAGUGAGAGAGGUGACCUUGCCCGGCCCCGCCCCCCCCCCCCCUGAAAUCCAGGUCACUUAGAUGCCGUGACAUCACCUCCCUGACCUCAUGUCCUCUUCUAGAGCAAAGGGCAAACAACAACAAAGUGAGUUUCUCAAAUUUGUGCCCUUAACCUCUAAAUGGGGAUUGUUGUCCCUGUAUUACCUGUCUCCUAGGGGUCUUAUGAGGCUCAAACCAUAGAUAUCUGGGGAAAUUAUUAUUUUUUUAAAAAAAUUUAAAUUUUUUCCCCUGAGGCAAUUGGGGUUAAGUGACUUACCCAGGAUCACACAGCCAGGAAGUGUUAAGUGUCUGAGAUCAGAUUUGAACUCAGGUCCUCUUGACUCCAAGGCUGGUGCUCUGCCCACUGCACCACCAAGCUUCCCCACUGGGGACAUUCUAAAUAUUAAAUGUACUUCUUAAACCACAAUAUACUAUUUAUACGAACCCGUUCUUAUUCUGUCGCCAGCCCCAGUGUCAGUUCCUUGGGGAGAACCCAGUCCCUAAUUCCAUAGUUGCUUCUUCAUUGGUCAUUCCAUCCCAGCCACCAGCAUUACAGGCAGAACUCGUGUUUCAUCAUCAGUGGAAACCUGUCACUGUGUGGAGGGCUCCCCCAAGGCAGGGCCUGGCCUGAAUCUAUAGGCGUAGUGCCAGUGGGACUUUCCUAAAUGGACCAGUAUUGGUUCUGUAUCUUCUCACUUAGGCUUUUUGAAAGUGGUUGUCUUCCCUUCUGAAAUUCCUGGAUCCUAGCCUCAGGACCUUUGGCAAUCAUCAUUGGUUAACUGGAAGAGUUUCCUAGAUGUUUGUAAUUGUAUUCGUUUGCCAUUUUCUAGAUCUCUUGGCAGCAUGAUGUAAUGGUAAGAACACAGGUCUGUUAGUUUAAAAAAAUCUGUCCGAGUUGUGUCUUCGGCACUUAUGAGCAAAUCAAGGCAGCCUUUCUGAGCCUCAGUUGGCUCAUCUGUGAAAUAGGGGUACAACUCUCAUACUACUUAGAAUCCUUCUUUCCUAACAACGAGGAAAGAAUUUUAUAUCUCAUUGGUAAGUUCCUCUUGGUAGGGGGGGGUCUCCAUUUAGGACCCUUAUCAGUCAUCCACCAUUCCCUUCCCAACUCCACUUCCAUGGUCCAGGCUUUGCCUCCAUACCUGAGCUACCUUCUUACCUGGGAAUUCCUUCAAUAGCUUGGCCCUUCUCAUCUUGAGGUGCUUAAUAAAUGCUUGUAGCCUCCUAUUUGCCUUAAAGAUCAGAACGUGAGUUUCCAUUCAUGCAUUAAGGAGUAUAUGCACAGAAUAGACUGAACCUUACUGUUCUGAUAACCAGUCCGAUUUGGUGGAUUUUUUCUUUGCUUGAAUUCUAAUAGAUGCUGGAACCCUACAGUUAAGCAUUUGAUUUUCUGUUGUGGUUUUUAAUUUUCCUUUAGUUUCUAUUGAUCUUAUUCCUUGGGUUCCUCAAGGGCAGGAGAUUGUGUUGGCUACUUCUUGGCCAACACUUGGCUACUUCAGUACUAGCACAGCCUCUAUUCCCUACCUAAGGCUGAUUCAUCCUGGCCUGAUCUAGCCAAUGCCUUCUUCUGUACAAUGUGAUGGAACGAGAUGGUCUCUAAGGUCCCAUCCACCUCCAACUCUUUCUCAUGUCCACUUAUGGAGUUUGGGUUGGUUUUUGUUAUUGUUAUCGAGUUCUUAAUCUUGUCCCUGGAGACUCCUUCAAGGGAAAAAGGAUUAAACCUGAAUUUGAGGUUCAGAUCCUGUCAGUUACUUUGCAGCUUCAAUUUCCCCAUCUGUAAAUGAGCUGGUUGGACUCAAGGUUCCCUUUUAGCUUCUUUAUACCUGCACUUUUCAGCUCUGCUUCAACUCUUACUAAACUUUUCCUAGUAAUAGACAAAACAUUUAAGCAAAAAGGAUCACACUUGUUUUGUUGCAGCAAAUGAUACUGUUGGAUACAAUGUUUCAGACACAUAGCCCUUGUUUCUCUGUUCAGUGGAAGAAGAUUGUGUUUUAUAAUCACUUUUCUAGGACUGAGAGUGUUCAUUGAAAUUCAUCAGUUAUAAUAUACACUUGUGGGUUCUUUGGUGAGGAGCUUCAGAGUGGGACUUGGGUUGCACCAGAGCCCUGAAGAUGGGAUGGGUGGUAAAUCUGACGAAUGUCUGCUAGAGAAUGGUACUGACAUGGCGUGGAGGACUUUUGGGGGACCAGAGAAAGCAGCAGUAUCCUUUAUAUGGUCUUAAAUGUACUCUAUAGCCCAUGGACCAGAAGAACCAUGGGUCACAGUGGAAUUCUGGAGCAGGAUGUUUUUGUGAUGCUCAAUGGAGAGAACAGGGAUGGUAGGUGAGAAGGUUUAGAGAGGUGCUGGAAAACUUAGAAUAUCAGGAAGGUUUUGUGUUGGUCAGAGAUCCGACUUAGCCCUCUGCUUAGUACUAUAUAGGAUUAGUACCAGCGAGGGAGCCAGUAAUAGAACAGUGGUGGAAAGGGGCAUGAGAUUUGGGGAUCCGGCAGCCAGGACUAAGCCUAGCUCUUUUAUUGCUUGUGGGACAUUGGGCCAGUCAUUCAGUUUCGUCAUCUAUACAAUGAAUGCAGUUUAGAUGAGAUGACCACCGAGUCUCCUUCCAGCUCUAAAUAUGUGUAUAUGCAUGUGUGUGUUAGUGUAUAUAUCAGAGUAGAUAUAGAUAUAUGUGUGGUUACAUAAUAUGUGUGUAUAUUUAUACACGCAUGUAUGUGUACCACCAAAGGCCCCAAAUUUGGGGGUAUUAUGUACACACUAUAUUUGUUUUUAUAUAUACAUAUAUAGUACAAAAUAUACACAUGGGUGUAUAUGUGUAUGUAUACAUUACAUGUAUGUGUGUGUAUAAAUAUAUACAUAUACACACAUAUAUGUAUGCAUGUUUAUAGACCAUCAGGAGUCCAGAAUUUGAGGGGAACACAUAUCCAUACAUGUAAAUUUACACACAUGCAGUAUACACAUAUGGCACAACAGAAACCCACCAUUUGAGAGGAACAUACACAUAAACAUGUAUACGUGGUAGAUAUGUGUAUAUCUGUUUAUGUGAAUCUGUGUUUGUGAACAUACAUAUUGUUGUUUGGUCAUAUAUGACCCUUUGUAACCCUGUGGGCCUUGGCACACCAAUACUGUUCAUGGGAUUUUCUUAGCAAAGAUACUGGAGUGGUUUGUUAUUUGCUUCUCUAGGGGAUUAAAGUAAAGUAAAGAGAAGUAAAGAAUCCCACAGCUGGUCAGUUUGAGGCCAGAUUUUAACUCAGUUCUUUAUGACUCCAGAGCCAGUGUUCUAUCCAUUCAGCCAUUUUGGUAAACACAUAUAAUAUAUAAUAUAUAUAUAUAUAUAUAUAUACAUACAUAUAUAUAUAUACACACACACACAUAUAUAUGUAUACACACAUAUAUACACAUACAUGUCAAUCUAUAUAAUACACACACAUAUAUGUAUAUAUAACAAAUAUUUGUACAUGUAUUACAUGUAUAUCCAUUCUGAUCAUUCCGUUAAAGAAAAGAAGUUACAGGGGUUGACUUUUCUCUAGUAAGGAAAAAAGUUUUAGUAACCAUAAUUGUUCACCACAAGCUGUUUGCUUGUGAGCAGUGAAUUCUGUCACUGGAGAAGUAUUCUAGGAGAGAUGCUAAGGAUGUUGUGGAUGCCAUUCCUGAGCUGCCUGGGAGUGUGAACCAGAUAAUGGUUGUAGCUAUCCAUUGAGCAGCAAGGCAGUACCCUGUGACGGACUGAGGACUUCAUCACUGGACGUGCUCGGGCACAGGGCCGAGUGACUAUUAGGAGACUCCUGCAUUGCCUAGGUUGAGCUGGGUGAUUCUGAGGUCCCUUCCUAGGCAGAUUCUAUCCCAUUUGUGAUGCUAGUAUUUUCACUUACCUUCCAAAGAUCAGCUCUUGAGUGCAGGGGUUGCUUCUCCUUAUAUUUCUAGUGCUUAUAGCACAGUUCCUGGAACAAAAUAGAGGCUUAAUAAAUGCUCACUGAUUUUUGAUUGACUGAUUCAGUAAUUAUCUUUUUGUUUCCAUUGGUGAAUAUAGUAUAUAUAUGCAUACACACACACACACACACACACACACACACACACACAUAUUUAAUAAAGCUUUUUAUUUUCAAACCAUACACACAGGUAAUGUUUCAGCAUUGACCCUUGCAUAGCCUUGUGUUUCAGAUUUUUCCUUCCUUCCUCCCACCCCUUCCCCUAGAUGGCAAGCAUUCCAAUAUAGGUUAUACAUGUUAAAAUAUAUGAGUAACUAUCUUUUUAGACAUAGCCGUGAGACUGACAUUUUCAAAAUCUUGUAGCAUUUCUGUAGCUAGAGCUCUAUGCAUUGAGGAAAACCUUGUGUUUCCUCCUUUUGAAGUUCUCAGUAGUAUGUCCUUAGGCUGACACAUACUUGGAGCUAUUGUUUUUUUUCCUGUGGUGAUGUCCAGUUUUUGGAAUCAGUGUCUAGUUUGUGAGACAAAGUGGGAGAGGAGCUGUUGUCUGUGGUGGAAAGAAUAAAGUCUGCCUUUUGCAACAGCAGACAUCUGCUUGCCUUUCAGCCUUGUGUCAACGUGGCAUUGUUGAAUAAGGAGGCACUCCUGCCAACCGCAGGACGUGGAGGUCUUUGCUGCUUAACCUGGUAGCUGAUUAAUCAGAGAGUGUUUAAUGAAUGCCGACCGGGUGCAAGGACUGGCAUCCAUCCGUCUGUACAUGAGAGGGCUUGAAUGGUGAGCUCCAAUAUGAGCCUGGGUUUGGAGGAUAGUAGACAUUAAUGGUGGCCCAGAUACCAUCUGGAUACUCUUCGAAACAUGAAGCCUGUGUGUGUAUUAGCGUGUUUGGAGAAGUCAAAUGUUUGGCUUCCCUUAGCAGGUGGCAAGAAAUUCAUCUGGCAAACAAAAGAUUAAAAGAAAAUAAUUGGAGAACUUUUCAUCCUUCACAUCCCCUUCCACAACACCAUGGGUUUAACGAGGGAAAAAAAGUCAUCUAAGAGGCCACAUUCAUCCCUCAUUUUAUAGAAUGUAAAUCAUGGUUUUACUUUGAAGGCUUUGAAGAAGCCUCAGAUAUUUGAGUGUUUUAAGGAUCUCCAUUUUCUUGCUGCCAUCCUCAUGGAUCUUUGUGAAUGGCUGGAGCCUCCCCAGAAUCCUUCCUCCUCAUGGGGAUGAUCUCAGACCACACAGUCCUCAAUUGAAAGAUCAUUAGCAGGUUGAUGUUCAGAACCCUUCAGAGCUGGUAGAGCAGGCUGAUUGCUUGCAUUCAGUGGGCAUCCCCUUCAAGAACCCAUGCUCACCUCAGUGCUAGGAUGCAGCAUUGGCAAAAACACGGUAAAUAAUGUGCUUUUAUAGAAUUCUGCCUUAGAUCAGAGUAGAGUGAAGGGAAUUUGUAGCUUCUUACCAGGAAAAGAUUGAUGGGAGUGAGAAGGGAGAGGAGGAGGUGAGAUUUCAAAAACUGUGCAGGAGUAUGGAGCUUGCCAGGCUCAGAAGAAUGGGUAUAGUAGAGAAGAGGAUUUCAUUUGUAGUCAAGAAAAUCUUGCCCCCUUUUGGAUAAUUGCUAGCUAUGAAACACUUCCCCAUCUGUAAAAUGGGAAUAGUCACUCUAGCAUAUACCUCACAGGAUAGUUAUGAAGGUUCACUGAGAUGGUGUAUAUGAGGCUUAAAUUUACAAAUUGUCAAAGUGCUAUAAAAAUAUCAUUCAGUGUUAUUAAGGACUAUUUUUAUAAGGAUACCAGCUUAGUACAAAUUAGGACUCAGAUAGUUGCUAUUAUUGUUAUGAUAUCAAUAAUAAAAUUAAUAAUACACUAAUAUGAAAAUAUUAGUACAAUAUCAAGUCAAUGUUAACAUUAAUAAUUAUAUUUAUAUGAUUAAUAUUGAUAUUAAAAUUAAAUAUUAAUAUAUUUAUUUUAUUAAUAAAAUAUCUAAAUUAAAUUAUAAUUAAAAUAUUUAUAUUAUCAUUAAAAUAUUUUUAAUACUGUAAUAAAUAAAUAACUUAAAUAAAAAAUAAAAAUUAAAUUAAUUAACUUUAAUCAAUGAGUUUGGUCCUGAGUUUCGAGUUGGGGACUCUACAAGAGAAUAUUUGAUUUCCUUUCUUUGAGGAGCUUGAUAAUGAUAAUAGUAAUAGUAGCUAGUGUUUAUAUAGCUUUUUAAAGUUUGCAAAGCAUUUUACAAAUACAAAUUCAUUCUGCACUUUGUGAUAUGCUGUGAGAAUCAAAUGAGAUUACAUCUAUCUAUAAAUCAUAUAAAUUUUCUAGCUAUUGCUGUAAGGACAACAACCUCGAAAGAGAAGUGUUAUUAUUAUCCCCAUUUUACACAUGAGCAAACUGAAGUAGGCAGAGGUUAAGUGAUGUGCUCUGGAUCACAUAGUCAGUGAGAUUUGAACUCAGGCUUUCCAGGCUCCAGACCCAGCCCUCUGUUCACUGAAUUAUGUAGCCCUCUCAUUAUGAUAGAAGGUGCACAUUUUAUGGGAGUAAAUUCAGCUAAGGUUAGACUGAUGCUGACUAAGGGCUGGGCAGUGACAAGUAGUCAGCAUUCAGUUGGGAAUGGAAGGAAUGAAAUAAUACACUCUCUAAAUCCUCAGGGAAUCUGUAAGAGGAAUCUUGAAGUACAACAGAAUAGACACUGGGAAUUCCAGGUGAUGACCAUCUGCCUUCUGGGCGAGCAUUGGUUAGUAUUAUUAGCAAAGGGAGACAUCAGAUUCUUUGUUCAAAAUCAAAAGACCUGAAUUGUAUUAUAUAUAUUUUUUAUUCUGGAUCUAUGAUUUCACUUCAGUGAGGAAACUCUCAAAGAGGAGGCCUCUUCUACUUAAGCAAAUCAGAAAUAUUCUGCAGUUUAUAAUCUUACUGAAUUGUCUGAGAAUUUGUCAUCUGCUUACAGUUAGUCACUAUGUGUAAGAGGAAAGACUCGAACACAGCUCUCCUGCUAGUUCUCAGGCCACUAAUUUUUUUUUUUUUGAGGUAGAGGGUUGGUUUUAAGGAUCUGGAAGAGAGAGAUUCCAGUAUUGCCUCUGAGAGGUUCUAAUUAUAAGAUUUUGGCCAAGUAACUGAACCUCUGAAUACCUCGAGGUAAUUUCCUUAGAUUCUAAAUUGCAAAGGACGUGCUAAUUUGUAUCAGAGGAGGAAGUUUUCUUAGUGAGAGUUCCCUAUUUCAGGGAAAUCAAAGGUCCAGAAUUUUUUGGGGAAAACCAUUUAUUUGUUAUAAUGAAUAAAAUUACCAUUUGUCUUAAGGGUAGUGACUAGUCUUGAUACCAGAAGGAAAAUAAUGAAAUAAACUUCCUCUCUCAGGAGAGGAGUCGUGGGCUACCCACACUAAAUGUUAUAUAUUGUCAUAUAAAAUUGCUGCUUGUUGUUUUUGCAUAAUUUUUCCUAGUAAAGGAGGGUUUGGUUUAUGGAAGGAGAGUAUAAAAGGAUAAUAGCCAUGGCAUAAAAACAAGAACUAUCAAGGCAGUUUUUUCCAUCAAAAAAUGCUACCUGCUUUUACCUAUUAAAAAAAUUCAUUGAUAUGCAUUCCGUUUCUUAUAUCACUACAGUUAUCCUAAGUAUUCCUUCUCCCCCUCUCAAAGAACCAUUCUAUAGAAGUAAUAAUAUUUUUAAGGGGGAGGAAUCAGUGUUACUGAUCAAUAGACUGAAAAAAGCCCUAAAACAUGUACAAUUGCAGCACCUCUGAAUCUUCCUCUGACCUCCACAAAAGGGCGGGUUGGGGGUAUCCUCUCAUAUCUCUUCAGUUGAAUAAGUCAUAGUUGGUCUUUAUAAUUUUGGUUAUAUUCAUUUUUUCUUGAGGGAUAUAGGGAGGAAUAAGUUGUAUUAUUGUAGUUAUUGAUAUAUUGUUUUCUUGGCUCAGCAGCAGUUCAUAAGCAGUUUCAGUGCUUCUCUGUAUUUAUCACACACAUCAUGUCUUACAGCAUAGUGAUAUUCUAUUAUAUUUACAUAGCACAAAUUGUUUACCCAUCUCCUUAUUGAUGAACAUCCACCUUGUUUCUAGUUCUUUGCUAUCACAGAAUGUGCUACUAUAAAUAUUUUGGGGUAUGUUUUUACAAACUUUACUCUUAGUGAUGGCUUCCUUGGGGGUACAAACCCAAGAAGAGAAUCUCUGGUUCAAAGCACAUGGACAUUUUAGUUACUUUAUUUGCAUAAUUAGAAAUUUCUUUCCAAAACUACCCUACCAGUCCAAAGCUCCACCAUAAUGUAUUAAUGGGCCUAUCAUUCCACAAACCCUCCCAUACUGAAGAUUACCAUUUUUUGUCAUUUUCCAUUUUGCAGAGUGUGAGGUAAAAUCUCAUGGUUGUUUUGAUUUGAAGUAAUGAUACAGAACAUUCUUUAAAGUGGUUGUAAAUACACCACAAUUAUUUUAAGAACUGUUUGUUCAUAUUCUUUGACUCCUUAUCUUUUGGGGAAUCUGCCUUUUCUUUUGGAAUAACAUUUUAAGUUUAUCAAGGGAAUACAUAAUAAUCUAGUGGAGAGAGUUGAGAAUUAGGAGGCUUGGUUUCCAGUACCAGUUCUUAUCACUAAUUAGCCAUGUGGCUUAGGUAAGUAAGUGACUUCAGUUCUCUAGAAUUUCAUUGUUCCCAAAGUAAAAUGAGCUUGUUGGACUAGAAGAAUGCUGAGAUCCCUUCCAGCUCCAACACUUAGUAAUGCCAGUAUCCAUCGAGAUGAGGUUCAGUGCCUGGGAUGUGGGCCUUUUCCCAGCAUAGUUGAGAUGCCCCAUUGGUGCUCUAAAUAAGAUCAUGUACCCCAGGAAACUUAGAGCCCAAAGACUUAAUGUCUUGUUAGUAGAACUGUGAAUUGGACCAAGACAUCUGGGAAACAGUUUGGAUUUAGCCCUUGAAUGAACAUAUUGCACAUAUGUUUUGACCCAGUGAUACCACUGCUAGCUUAUAAAAAGAGAGGGAAAGGACCUGUAUGUACAAAAAUAUUUAUGGCAGCUUUUCUGUGUUGGCAGAGACUGAACAAAUUAUGGUAAUGAAUAUAAUAGAGUAUUAGUACACUCUUAGAAAUGAUAAAGGAGAUGGUUUCAGAGAAACCUGGGAAGACUUAGAACUGAUCCAGAGUUAAAUGAGCAGAACCCCUGAGAGCACCGCUAUAAAGAAAAACCAUGUUGGAAAGACUUAAGAAUUGUGGCAACCAUAGUUCCAGAAGGUCUAGUCCAGAAGAUUGAGGAUGAAAGCGACUUCCAUCUUUUCUUGGUCAGGUAAGAAACUGAAGAGGGAGGAGCAGACAUGCCCUUUUUUGGACAUGACCAGUGUAGCAAUUACUUUACAAUUUUGUUUACAGUUGUUAUGUUUUACAUUUGCACAUCUGACACAAGGGGUAGGUUUUUUUUUUCCUAAUUUCAGAUUUUUGGGGGAGAAUUGAAGGGCAUAGCUAAGAGUUAGUAAAGUAAGAAAAGAAAAAGUGAGAUGAGAGGGUAAUUGAGAGAUUUUAAAUGCACAGAAGAGAACAGAAGGAGGCUUGGUAGGAAACACAGACUAACAGGACAGUUCUGAAAACGCCGGGCAGAAUUUGUUGUCCCCUGGGAAGAGAACAACUCGUGUGGCUCAGGCGCUCAGCAGCAUGUUCGGAUCUCUUUUUUCCUUCUGCUUUGGAUAUAGAGGAGCCCAUUUUGUUUAGUGUUUAAAGUUUAGGGGAAAAAGUGAAACGAACAAAACAAAGUUAAUGCCCUUCCAAGGAGAGGAACCACUAAUCCUCUCCCAGGCCAGCUGACCCAUAAUCGGGUUUUCUCGCCUCUCCAACCAUGGACUCCUCCCUCCUGUCUGGGUAAGAUCAUCUCCACUGAGACAGAUGUGGCCUUCCGAAGAACUUUCCUCAGGAACAUAUGACUCAGCAGUUGGAUUCCCAGGGGGACAGAGGCCCCGAAGUUCUCCCUGCUAUGGUUGGAGUCCACACCUCUGGAACUUGGCACCUGAUCUUGGAAGGCCAGAGGGGUAAGUCGGUUUCAUUUUGGAUUCCUCGGGCUACAGUUCACCCUGGCUCCCCGGAUUUCCUGGCAGAAGACCCCCUGGUGGGGGGGUAGGAGGGGUGAUCCCUGCCAUCAGAUAGUCAAGUGGGGUUCUCGGUUCUCACUGCAUUGGGCCCAAAGGCCCCCUGAGAAAUCCGGAGGAACCUGGGUUUGGGGAAAAGCCAGCCUGUGAAUUACCCCUGACCCCUUCGUAGCAGAAAUAGUUAAUGUGAUGGUGGUCCUAGGAUGGCGACGAACCGUCCUUUAGGGACUUCAGAAGAUGAGCUGGGAUGCCGUUGGGCUGGGUUCUGGGGACCAUCUCCCAGAGUUCAGCAAGGCUCUGCAGGGGGGUCUCAGGGGAAGAGUUGAGCCUGCUGAGGGGAGGGUCUCGAAGCCCCAGAGCAUCCAAGGUGGUGGGUGAUGACAGGCCACCCAAAAGUGUGGCCAGAGAGGCGGGGUGAAGGCCCAACUUUUUUUUUUGGUCUUGUUUGACCAGCCUUGGCACUGCCCCCCCCCCCCAGCUCUCCAGGGGAAAGCUGCAAUUCUGCUAUUGCAACACAGGGAGCAGACUGGAGAAUUUAGAUCUGCGUCACACAGCUCAGAGAGAGAGAGAGGGAGAGAGAGAGGGAGAGCUCCGUCGAUAGGUCUGUUAGCAACAGCCCUGCAGCAGCAGCAGCAGCAGCAGCAGCAGAGAGAGAGAGAGAGAGAGAGAGAGAGAGAGAGAGAGAGAGAGAGAAGUAAUAUCAACAUUGAGGACUAGGUCCUGCCAACCCACUUGCGAAGCUUUCAGAGAUGUAUUGGGGACAUCGCAGCCCGUGGGAGCUCGGGCAGAGAAGAUGGCAUGCAAGGUGGCAGGAUGGCUCUGUGGGGAAGGAGGCUGGGGGGGCAGAGGUUGGGGGGCGAUGGCAGGCUCCGCCGGGGACGAAAUUCUGGAACAUUCUGUCCUGCGACACCAUACGGCAAGUUGGAUGGAGAGCCGGGACUGCGCAGGAGGCGACAGGCAGUUGUGACGGGCUCCCAGACUUGGUGGUGUGUACCCCUUCUUCCCCCACGUAUGUAUAUUCUGGGAUCGGGGGCGAUUCUUCUGUGGAGGGGGGUGCUUUCUCUCCUCAUCGCUUUUUUUUUUUUUUUUGGCUGUUUCCCUUUAAUUUUUCCACUUUAAUUUCCAUUCUCCUUAGGGUGAGUUAGUCCAAACUGACAUGGGUCAUGAGGAAGGAAACAGACUCCCCCUCCCCCCUCCAGGUUCCACUUCCAUCCACACCUUGAGCCCAGCAGGAGGUCCCUUUCUUUAGGAUGGACAGAUGACUCACCCUCUCUUUGGGUAUCUGUCUGUCAAUCAACAGAGUUGUGAUGCAGAAACGUUAGUGGGGGGGCCAGGGAAAGAAAAGGUGAAGGGACAACUUGGUUGGGGGCUCCCUGGCCCAAGGUCUGGCCAUGGGAGCGAGCGUCAGGGUCUGGGUGGAGCGGGAAGGGGGGUGGGACCCGGGCGCCCGGGUGGGGGCUGAGACUGUGGCAGGUUUGUCACUGCGUAGUUGGGGGAACUAAGUGGCGAGUGGUGACGCAGUCAUGGGCACAUCUGAGGGGGGCAGGGGAUCGAGGCUCCCCGAGUCUGCCGAGCCCCGCUGAGAGGGUUAAGGAUGAGCCGAGAAGGGGAAGCCAGCAUUUAGAGAUUAAAUGUCAUCCUUCUGGCGUUGCAAAGUUGUUUACCUUGCAUUCUCUGUGUCUCCAUGUUGGCAUCUCUCCAGUUCCCAUGUGAUGGCCUUCCCUGUACUGCUGCAUCAUUAACUAAGUGGCAGGGCUGGCCCUUCAUUGGCCAGGGGAGGGCUCAGGCUCCAGACACUUCCUCCCAUUGGUGAGAAGGGUGAUGGCAGGUGAAAAGCUCUUUUGGAUUGGCCGAGAACUGGGUAUCAAAUCUGAAUUUCCAUUUCACUGGAGAAAAAAAGGGGGGUAGUGUGGCGAUGAUGGUUGGAGCGUGGAGGGGGGCACCGGGCAGUUCGGAUCUCUGAAAGCUCUUCAGGGGCGUGUGUGUGUGCAACAGUGCCCAGGGUGCUUGGAGGCGGAAGCUCCUGGGCAUCCGAAGGACCCACAGGGCCAGCUUGAUUGCAUUUGCUCCUUAGGUGUAAGAAGAUCUUGCAGCUGUACAAACUUUUUUUUAAAUGGGUUUUUUUUUCUGGAGGGGGAGAAGAGUUGAUUUGAGAGGCAUGAGGGAUGGCAGAAGAGUUGACAGCCUCAGAAGAAAAGCUGCCUGGGCUUAUUUGAUUUCAAAAGAGGGAGUUUCCAGCUGUCACUGGCCGCACCUUGGUGUUGCAGCAAAUAACUCCCAACUCUCCUGGAAAUGCGUGGGCAAGGUAGGGCUGCGGCUGCUGCCUCCCGGGGCGGCCUCCAGACUGCUCCCCGGGGACCCGAGGUUUGCACUGACGUCCGGAGGUAGCCAUAGGUCCUCAGAGGCCAGCCUCGCGUCGGGGAGGACUGGCCUUCCUCACGUCAUCCUCAGGUGGAUGGGUGCUGGGGGAGAGGAAUGCCAUGAGGAAUGGCCCCGGAUGUUAGCCCCUGCGCUGGGUGGGCUUUCUCUAAGAGCUGAUGGAAGAAAGAGCUUCCUGACCUGCAUCGAAGGAGAGGAGAAUUGGGAGAGAGAAACUGGGGCAGCAGCUGCUGGGGGGAAUCUGAAAAAGAAAUGUUUAUCGAGAUCGUCAUCCUUCCCUUAAAUGGAGGUCCCAAGUUUGCCGUAGAUGUUCAGGUAAGAAAUAGAUAGGCCCCUUGAGCUCAGCUAUCCUCCCCCCCCCACCUCCCGAGUGGGUCAUGAAAGCUCCGUUGUGCCCCGGCCGUCCACCCCAGCGCCGCAGUGCACCCUGGAGUUUUGGCCGGCGGCUCGUGCCCCCCCAUUUCUUAUGUAACCGUGUUAUGUGCCUUCUCUCGUCCUCUGGCACGGCCCUCGCCCCGUUGGGGUGCAGAAAGCCCAGGAGGGAGGUCCUGGCUGGGGGAGAAAUUAGUGAACAAGGCUGCUCACCAGCCCCUGAGUGGUUGCGCAGUUGGCAAUACGGGCUGGGCGUGAGGGCAGAUUCCACCCUGUCCCUGCCUUGUCACCAGUGGUUUCCUGGGAACAUCUGCCUUGGAGAGAGAACGGUCCCUUUCAACUUCCUUCUGUAACUCAGCUCAUUUUGGAGGGGGGGAGAGCUUUCCAAAGGAGAAGGUAUGAUGGCUAACAAAGUAAGAUUUUAAAAAAAAAUUUUUUUUUAAGCAAAGAUGGAGGUCGGAUGGGAUGGCGUAGUUCUUGUGACUUUCUCGGGUCAUCCCGAUCCCGGUUGUUUUUCUUGUCCUUUUUUAAUUGUUUGCCCCUGGACAGUGGUCUUGAAUCCAGAUGCUUUCCUGUUGCUUGUCUUGGGGAGGUGUCCAUCAGUCCCUGCCAUGGUGGAGUGGGCUUCUGCGGCCCUACUGCGCCAAUUGCGCAGAACGGGCGGGGGCCGAUGCGGGGAGGGGGGAGGAGAUAGAGAACCCGGCUACUGCAGAAGCAGCAGAGGACGUAGUGGAGGUUGCGGCAGUGAGAGGAGGAGGUUCUCGGAGCCGGGAAGGGCUUGUUGUGCCCACCCUUACCCCGAGACCCAGACUUUGGGAAACAUGAUUAUUGUUCUUGGGACUUAUGGCUGUGUUGGGCAGGGCCCUCGCCAGUCAGAAAGUGUUUGGAGGCACAGACUGCAACGAUCCCCUCCUCGGAGAAAGUCCUGACGCACUUUGGGGUGGGGUGGCUGACGUAGCCCAGAACGUGAGAAGCAUCGGCCGUGGGGCCCGUGUUCCCGGCAGCCCAUUCUUCGACCACCGGCUGUGACGGGACGUGAAUCAGGUUUUGCUGCUUUCCAUGGCGUUUUGUGUAUGUCGAGAAUCCCGGGGGGGAUUUGAAGGUCACCCCUUCGUUUUACAGGUGAGGAAACUGAGGUUUGGGGAGGCUGUAAUUACGUAGAUAGUAGUAAAUACCAAGCCCAGGUAUCCAGCUGGCUUCUUCCGACUCUCUACUAUGUCACGUAGACUAUAUAACACAGGAUACCCCUUGAUUCUUUCCUUUACAUCCUUAUUUACAUAUCCCAUGUAUACCAGCCCUAAUUGGAAAAUUGGGAGAGUCAUUUAGGAGUGGGGAGUAAGGAACUAGAAGGAAGGGGUAUUUGUAAUGCAAGGAUUGAUGAGUUGAUUCUUCUCGUGGGUACCCCUUCCUGAGAUCGCCCAUGGUUUGCUACAUCAUCUCCUCCUCCUUCCGUGCAAAAUGUGCCGUCGUCCCUGAAAUUUGUCAUCCUUGCUCCCCGAAGAACCUCCAGGGGGCCACCUCUCUCCCUGCUCCUUGGCUCACAGCUUGGAGGACCGGCCCCCAGGUGGCCUCUUUUGGUAUUGUGGCCGCCUCAUGAUCCUUUCCCCCACCUCUCCUCCUCCUCCUCCUCUCAAGAGACAGUGGAUGAGAUCCUAGGGCCUCAGAAGCCUGUGACCAUAGAGCCUCAGCUCUGGCCGAACCUGCUAAGAGCAGUUGGUCUCAAUGAUGAGGUGCCCAUCACCAGGGGAUGGAGAGCCACAGGAGAAGUGGGGGACCAUGUCCUAGGGGCCGAUACCUGUGUCAGUGGAGGGACUAGUCACCCAUGUGGAAGGAUGGCUUCUUAGUGAUGUUAAACUAAGAUGGAUGACCAAGGAUUGAUACCUGUGUCAGUGGAGGGAAUAGCCGUCCACUUAGAAGGACAACUUUUUGAUCAUGUUAAACUAAGGUGGAGAACCAAGGAUGGUCCAGUUUAGGAGAACAUUGUCUAGGGGCUAAUCUUGUGUCAGUGGAAGGAGUAGCUGCCCAGAUGGAAGGAUGGCUUCUUAGUGACGUUAAACUAAGGUGGAUGACCAAGGAUGGUCCAGUUUAGGAGUUCAUUUCCUAAGGACUGAUACCUAUGUCGGUGGAGGGAGUAGCUGCCCAGAUGGAAGGAUGGCUUCUUAGUGACAUCAAACUAAGGUGGAUGACCAAGGAUGGUCCAGGGUAGGAGACCAUUGCCUAGGGGCUGAUCCUGUGUCAGUGGAGGGAGUAGCUGCCCAGAUGGAAGGAUGGCUUCUUGGUAAUGUUACACUAAGGUGGAUGACCAAGGAUGGGUCAGUUUGGGAGACCAUUUCCUAAGGGCUGAUACCCGAAUCAAUGGAGAGACUAGGCACCCACAUGGAAGGAAGGCUUCUUGAUCAUGUUAAACUAAAGUUGAUGACCAAAGAUUAUUCAGUUUCCCUUGAGACUCUCCCUUUAGAGAGCACAUUAAUAUCUCAAAAUUCCAAGUCUUCACAUGCCCUCUUCUGCUUUAUUUGUUCAUUUAACUGACAUACUAAAUAACCUGCUGUGUGCAAGACACUGGGGAAGGUAUUACAUAUUGCCUUUGAUCUGGAGGAGUUCACAAUCCAGUUGGGUGGGAGAAAAAGGGAUGGACUGGGACCCUCUGGUUUCAUUGGUAUAGGGAACGCCCAGUGAGGAAUCUCUUUUUUUCCAAAGAUUACCCAUCAGCGCCUGCUUUGCCACUUUGAGAGCUGCCUGGAGCUCCGAGGUCAGUGACUUGUAUCGGAUCGCACCAUCAGGAUGUGCCAGGCAAGACUUGAACCCCCCUCUUCUUGUCUCUUUCCAGCAGCUGCUUUGUUUGUAAUAUAAACUAUGUACACAGAUAAUUCCACAGUUAGCGGAGGCACACAGAGUACCAUGACACGUGAUGAUGGAAGGAUCCCUUCUGGAGGUGGUUGGGUGGGAACUGAUUGUAUUUGGUAGCGGGGUGAUGUGGUAGAUAGACCUCUGGAGUCUUCAGAUCCUGCCUCGAUGCUCCUAGGCAAGUCACUGAAGGUGUUUGUGCCAUAGUUUCCUCAUCUGUAAAGUCGGGAGAGUAAUAGCACGUGCCUCCCAGCAUGAUUGGGAGAAUGCAAUGAAAUACGUAUAAAUCCAUUGCAAUCCCAAAAGGGUUGUCUAGAUGCCGUCUGCUGCUCCUUGUCUGGAAACGGCAUCCAGAAGGAAGGGGAGAUGAGUCUGGGGGUCUUGUCCUUAACUCAGAGGAAGAACUGUCUCUCUUCCUUUCCAUUCACAUUCUUGAUGACAUGGGUGUUGUGCUUUAGGAUCAAAAAGCACUUGACCCACAUGGUUUCAUUUAUGCUACCCUGAGAGAUAGACAGGAUAGAGGAUUGUUAUUCUUAUCCUGCAAAUGAGAAAAUCAAGGCUCCCCAAAAAAAGAAUAAUUAGCUUACUGAAGUCACAUAGAUGGUAAAUGGCAGAAUUAGGACCUAGAUCUGGGUCUUCUGACUCUGAAUUCUGUUUUCUUUCUGCUGUUUCCUGAGGCUGCUCAUUCCCUUCUACCUCUUCCAGGACAUUUACUCAAUUCAUUAUUUCUUUCCUCCUCUCUUUACCCUUUCCCUUCCUUCUCUGCCUCUAUUUUCAGAUUGCAUCUAAAAAAACCUUUUCCUCCAACCCCCCCAGGCUCCUUUGCCAUUGUCCUAUCCUUUUGGUGCCAAGUUUUUGGAAAGAUCUCUUGGCUCUGGCUGGUCCACUUCACCACCCACUCACACCUUAAUUCCUUGUGAUCUAGAUUUUAGCCCUAGCACUCUUGUUUAGAAUGCUCUUUCAAAGGUCACAGUGACUGACCAAAUCCAGUGGCCUUUUUCAAGCCUUAUCCUUCUUAAGCUUUCCGUGACAUUUGAUGCUUUGCCAGCCCCUCCCUCCUGAAAUCCUCUCCUUUGGCUAACGUGGCACUAUCAUCUCCUGGCUCUCCUCCUACCUCUCUGAGCCCAAAUACUCUGCCCUCUCCAACCCUCUUAAUUUAGGUAUUACUUCCUAAAGUUCUCUCUUUAUCACUACACGCUCCUCCUCAGACUGUUUGUCUCCCUUAGAUUCACUUCCAUAAAGAUAACUCUCAAGUCUUUAUCUCCAACUCCAGCAUGUUAUGGAUUUUCUUCCAAAUUCCAGCUAUCUUUGGGCACAUCCCUGCUGGAGAGGGAUAGCUUGAUAUAAUGGAUAGAGUCAUGAAGAUGUAGUCUUAGGUCCUUUUGGAUUGUUUGACCCUGGGAAAAAAAAUCAGUUUUCUUAAGCAGCUUGCUAAGACUAUCCAUAGCAGAGAAGGGACUGACCUAAAUUGUUGAGGAAGAUUCCUUAAACUAGUCUUGUUAAAAAAAAAAAUUAGGUAGCUGAUGGACUUCUCCUCUUGGAUGUCCCAUUGCUCUCUCAAAUUUAACACAGCUGAAAUUGAACCAGUCAUCUCUCCCUCAUCUUAUUUUUUUUUUAAUUAAAGUUUUUUAUUGACAAAACAUAUACAUGGGUGAUUUUUCAAUAUUGACCUUUGAAAAACUUUCUGUUCCAAAUUUUUCUCCUCCUUCUUCACACCCCCUCUCCUAGAUGGCAAGUAUCUCCCUAGUCUUACAUCAAAAUUUAUUAUUCCUGCUAAUGGUGCCAUCGAUGUCCUGGUUACCUAGGCUUGAAAUCUUGUCCUUCCCAAGCUUUUUCACCUUUACAAGUCCUGUCUAGUCUUCCUUAGUAAUUUCUCUUUUCCAUCCCCAACUUGUAUUAUCUGAGUUGAUAAUUUUAGCACUGAGUCCAGUUCAGCCUCCUCUUAUUUUACAGAUGGGGGAAGUGAGGUCCAGAGAGCAACAUACAGGUAGUAAGUAUGGAGAAAUUAGGUAGAAGAUGUGUCUCUGAACUGCUCGAACAUAUAGAAUAGUUCCCAGUUACUUGCAAGAUCAAGCCUAAGGCAUUCUAAUUUCUCUAUGAUUCCAAAUCUCUUUCCAAUCUUGUUUCUUACUGGUUAUAUACCCACCAGCAUAGUCCUCUACAGGAUAUAGGACUCUUGUCAACUUUAGCCUUAUUUUGGACUCACCUUCUCAGAUAAUACGAAACCUAAGAUUCUAUAGAGAAAAAAAAAGGAGGAAAGAGCAAUUGGGGUUAAGUGAAUUUCUUAGGAUCAUGCAGCUAGUAUCUGAGGCUGGGUUAGAACUUGACUCCUGAUUCCAGCACUGGUACUCUAAGCCCUAUAGAAAAUUUUGCCAAAAGAAAAUAAUUGUUGGCACUUGAGUUUUAAGAACAGUUUGUAUACGUUGUCUCAUUUGAUCCUCUUCAUGCCACAGUGACAUCCAUUUUAUAAAUGAGGAAAUUGAGAUCGUAGGUAACUUGUCCAUAGUUAAGUGUACAGACCUAGGACUCUUGACUAAUUAGUCUAAUACUGUCCACUAGACCACACUGCCUCUCACUGUCAUAUUGCCUGGUUGCAUCUAGUAGAACUCUGCGGGCCUGCAAGCAGACAGGGGAGAUGGGCUUGUGUAAGGUUCUCAGUCCUGCAGAUGAGAAAAAAGAUUCUGUGAGGGGUCCCCCAACCAACCUGUCCCAUCCGUCUUUGUCACCAGGUUAAGUGGAAAGAGCAUUAGAGAGAAGACCAGCUUUUUGGUCCUGAUUCCAAUACUGACUGCCUCAGUUUCCUCACUUGUAAAUUGGACUGAAGCCUCUCAGUGCUACUUACUCACAGGGCUCUUGUAAGGAAACCUCUGUAAACCCCUAAGGCAUUUCAUACAUAUAUAUGUGGUGUGUGUAUGCGUGUGUGUGUGUGUGUGUGUGUGAAGGGUGGUUGGAGCAGCAUUUAAGCACGAGGCAGUGACUGGGGCACUCACAAAGGCAGGACACAGAGGAUUAGGGAGAGUUCAUCAGUUCUCUGUAAGUCCCAAUGAGAGCCCAAUUAAUUUUCCUCAAAAAUCUCUCCUCCCAAAGUGUUGGUACGGACUGUCUGGUUCCUGAAGCCCUGGGGAUGGAAGGAGUCCAGAGCCCUUCCCUGUCAUUUCUGGGGCUUUCAGGAAUUGACAAACAGCCGUUGGUAAUUGUGGGAAGGGAGGGAGGUGCGCUGAUGGGGGACACUGGCUUCUUUCUUUCAUCCCCCCUGGAAGAUUACUCGCUGUACAUGAGCCCUGCGAGGAAGCUUUCAGCCUCUUGUCCUGUACUCCAUCGACAUGAAAAUUAGCUUCUCUGGGGUCAUAUGGAGGAAAGGCCUGGACCUUGAGUCUCAGGGUCAGAAAGCACAAGAGCCCAGUAUCUACCUCAGAGAAGAAAACGCCAGUUCUUGAGGUUUAGACAUGAAACCUGCCAAAUAGUAUUUUUUCCCUAGAUCUUCACAUUCCCUCCCCCAAAUGUCAGGAGUAUUUCUUGGGUUAGAAAUCCUCUGGGGAAUUUUCCUGUAGCCCUAUUGGCCAGUCCUUGAGCAGGGGGCACCUUGCAGACCUCCAUCUUGGGCAGUGGGCUUUCGUAGGAAUCACUCGUGUCACCUUCAGGGAACAAACCAGCAUCUUGGGGAGGCUCAUCAGAGUCCCUGCGUUUAUUUUGUGUUUGGUUGAGAUGUCAGAGCUUGAGUCCUUGGUCUCUGUUGGACCAGGACUGAGUUCAUGGUCAGUUUCUUGGGAAACUAGCCUUGAGCCCCCAUUUUCCUUCUUUAUUCAAAUUUGGAGCAAGAUUCCACUCAGUCAUUCCUCUAUUUCUUUCAUGAUGUAAAGGGUUCUCAAUACACUGUCUUUUUUGUGUAUUGUCGAUAAAUAUUAGCUACCUACUUUGUGCAAGGGCAAGGUGCUGGAAUUACAGGAUUCUAGAUCUUUCAAGAGCUGGCUGUUCUGGACAAAAUUUUAUUUUUAUUUCCCUUUAUCCAUCAAUCUAGUUAUCCCAGAAAUGGGAGAGGAUGGGCUGCCUACUGCCCCUGAAUCCUGGCCAAACCAUUACCCAGACAGCUGGGGCCUUCCAUUUCUCUCCAUUGCUUCCCAGAGUUAUCAGAUGAGGGUAGUUCAUUUGUGGCAUGAACAGGCAUCUUCUGCUUGGGGACUCAGGAAGAGAGCCAGAUUAGGUUUUAUUUAGCUUGUUAGAAUCUUCUUUCACUAUCCCCCUUCUACACACAUACCAUGCCCUGUGAGUGAAAAUUAGAACCAGAUUUCUUAUCUUCUUGUCCCAUGGAUCAUCCUGAAGGAUCUAUGCAAAAUUUCAUCUAGAAUUUGGAGAGGAAGAAGAGAAUGUGCAGAAUUGUGAAAUUUGGCUAAAAUGACAUUCACUACAAAAAGUUAGGAAAAUGCAGUAUAAUUUUAAUAAGCUAUGCACAAGGCAUCAAGGGUACAAAGUCAAGAAUAAAUGAUCCCUGUCCUCAAGAAGUUCAUAAGUAUAGUCGAUCAUAUUCUAGAUACUCUCCUAUUUCUUCACUGUCUCCAUGGCAUUGUUAAAAAAUAUAUAUAAGGGGAGUAAUCAGGAAACCUUUGCUUUGCUGUAUCAGGACAAUCUUUUGCAGAACUGGAUUGCUUUCUGGUCUUCGCUAAGGAUUCCCCAGCUCAUUCUCUUUCUACAAAAAUGUUUAUGAGGAGUGUUUUUAAUUCUAAGACUGGUCUGUGUAGCAUCAUAUGAGCAUCUUUGCAUUUCAGAAAGCACUACAAUCCAACAGACCAGUUACUACAAGGAGACAGAAAUGUCUCCCUUUGAGGCCCCUGUGCUUCAGAUGGCCAAUCAGGAACCAAACAGAGUAGCUAAGAAUUAUGUGUCCAGGCCCAUUGCUCUGCCUUUAGCUAUUGGUCCUCAGAUGGGUUGUGAACGGUCAGUCCAGGGCUCAGCCACAUAAACCUAAGCUGCUUUUCUCCUUUUCUUUCCUUGCAGGGAUGCAGGAUUCUCUCCUCUCAGAGGGCUCAUCAGAAUGCCCAUGAUGGAUGCUGAGCCACAGAAACAUUGUUGGAGAACCUAGAACCUCCCUGGUAAGGGGAAGCCACCUAUGAGGGACUGGGUUGGUCUCGCAUGAUUCUAGCAGCAGCACCAGAACAACAACAACAAUAACUAGCAUUUGCACAGUGCUUUAAGGUUUACAGUGCAUUUUAGCCACAUUAUCUCAUUUGAUUUCAUUAGAGGUGGGCCUUCUGUGGUUUUUGGCUGUCUGUGGUCCAUGUGCUUGCCAGCUUCUUUAAGGCCAUCAAAAAUAAACCUUCACUUUUUAUCAUCCCUGGUGUGGGCUAGGUUUGCUAUUGUACCGUUACAGGGUUCAGUACAUGGAAAAGUUCUUGACCCCUGAUCCCUUUGGCUUUCAGAAGCUUUUCACUUUUCUUGCUUUAGAGUAAACUAGAUGCACAUCACCCAGCCUGGGGGAGAGGGGGCAGGAGAGUGUUGUCCACCAUGGUCUUUAAGAUCCUGUUUAUCCUUAUUGUCUUAGGCUGUGAUAGAGUUUGUUAAUCCAAGCUAAUUGGUCUUACAAGCUUCUUGCCAAGUUCUCGUAUCAUGCUGUAGUCUUGCUGGGAACUGUGAUCUGAUGUGUCUGUAUCUAAUGGGGCUGUCUCUUUCUCCCUCCCAAAGGGAAUCCUGUGGACCCUCAUAGAUGGUAUUAUCAGGGAGCCAGUACCUGAGAAGGAAUGGCAGCCUUUAUUUUGGUUGGAUGUGUGUGGUGGGGACCUCAUGUCUUAUGACAGAUGCUGAUGUAGUAAGGGAAUCAGUGGUUCCCUUUGGGAGGGAAUGGGAUUUUUUCUUUUGGCUCAAACAGGAGAGAAAAUACCCCACAGGUACCUUGUGACUUUGACUGUGAUUGGUGUUCAUCUACAAAGCCAGUUAAGAUAGCAUGUCUCUGAGGCUCUGAUCUUGGGGGCCCAGGAUGUUGUGGGGCUCAGAAGACAGCUGGAGAGAGGGCUUGAGUGGCCAGGAUGGGAACAAAGGCCUGGCUGUGCUUCUUGGGGAUCCCAGCUUCUCCCACUUUGACCCACUGGGUCCCCUUGCUCUCCUCCUCCCCCCCCUUUUUUUCAUUUCUAUGUCUACCCCUCUUAGGAUCAGCAUGGAAGGGUCUGAGCACAGAAGCCUCUGAAUUGGAGAUCAGAGUAGCCUUCGAUAAAAGCCCUGGUCUUCCUCCGCUUGUUUUUGAAUUUCUGAAACUAGUUUUUCCAGAAGAGAGCAGAAGGACAGCAGCACACGGUUCCAAGGGAGUUGGAUGCUUGGACGAGCAUGUCCUGCUCUGGGUUUAGAUGGGGUGGGCCUUCUGUUGUCCCCUUUUAUUAAUCUCCUGCCCAACUGUCCCCAUCCUCAUCCUCCAGCUGAGCUGCUUGGCCCAAGGACUCGUAUGUCUGUGAUAGAGGGAACUUUCCUAAUGUGGCGUGAGCUGUCUGGUGGGUCAUUGGGCUGCUUAUUAGGAAACUAGCCCUGGGGCCUUCACCCCUUGCAUUCCUCCCAGAUGAGUGAAGUCUGGUUCCGUUUUCCCCUCCUUCCCCAUCCUGACCAGUUAGCUCAUUUAGUGGGAAAUUCCCCAGUGGCUUUCAGUGAGAGAUAUUCCAGUAAAGGGGGGGGGGGGACAGUAUGGGACACUAGGAAAAAGUCACUGAUGGUGAGAAAUGAAAAUGAGGGAAGAGCGAGAGAGAGCAAGUUUUAAAAAUUUUAAAGGAAAAAUUAAAAAAUCAUCCUUAUUUUGGUCAGAUGCCUCCCACCCUGAUGUAUCUGAUUUUGAGAAAGAUCCUGCUCAGGCCCAGUAUCUCAUCUGUAAAAUGAGAGGGUUGGACUAGCUGGAGUCCCUUCCCUCUAGAUCUGUGGCCCCCCAACACCAUAAUGAAUAAUUGCCCUCCUUUCUCUCCCCUGCUUUUGUGGACGAGGUCAGGAAGGCUGUUGAGGUGGCUAGUGGGAUUGACCGAAGGGGGUCUGAAGGAGGGAAAAGACCCCGCUGCAAUCUCUUCCUGUCAUGUCCGGGAAUAGGCAGGGUGGGGAGAUGUAGGAGGCGUUGCUGGGUGUGUCGGUUUGUAACUAUGGCUAUAAUGGGAAGAGGGUGAUUGGAGGAAGGUAACUGGAGGACUCUGAAUUCUCCUGAGUGACUGAAAACCACCCCACCCCAUCCCUUUUCCCCAAAGUCAGGACUUCAGGCUAGUUUUAACAGCUCAGUGACCCCCAGAUAAAGUCCACUUGGGGAGAUGGGCACGAAGGGAUGCAGUGCUAGGGGCACAGCAUCCUCCAGUGAUGCUUUUGGCUGGUUCUCUGCCUUCAAAGAGAAUGACCUUUUGUAGGGCUGCAGCCUAGCUGAGGGUCUGGGGUCUGUAGAUUAAGUUCUGGGAAUGAGUGACCAGGCCCUGGGUUUCUGUCCCUAAAUUGUUGGGUUACUGACUGAGUCACCCUGACUUUCAAGACCCUGGCUGCCCUCUUUGAAAAAAAAAAAUUGAACCCUGGCCAGCAUGCUGAUUACAAAACGUUUCCGAGCAGUAACAAUAAUAGCAACAAUAAUAAAAAUAAUGACAAUUGGCAGAGCUGGAGGUGGAGUUUUAGUGACAGUUGAGAAAGCAGCUCUUUUAAGCACUGGCCACGUCACCAGGAAAUAAAUCUCUGUCCCACUAAUAAAUCACUGUAAUGUACUUGGCCAAUAGGACCUGUUUUAAUUAGCCACACCAAAUCCGUCUACGUCAAGAAAAUAAUCAUGCCUUGUAUUUUGAUAGUGCUUUUGGAUAACGUGAAACGAGAGUCAGAGGACCGAGUCCUUGAUCCGAUGGCUCCCCCCCCCCCCCCCCCCCGAGCACUCCCCGGCUUCUGUUGGCAGAUCUGGCCCAACUUUGCCUCUGCUCUGGAACAUUUUACUCUCUGUAGCCCAUCGGAAACCUUAGUUUUUGUGGGAUCUGAACCCUGUGUGGGGCUUUGAGACCCUCUCAGGAGGAUGAUUAGGAAUAAAUUUUAGAAGCCCUGCUUUCUAUAUUCAUUCUUUUUAUUCUUUUCUUUAUCCCUCCUUCCUCCUCUACCCCUCCCUCCCUCCUUCUUUACCUAACACACAUACAGACUUGGCAGAUAGGAGUUCCUCCUAGAUCUAGGUGGUUGUGACUUUCUGGAAUGAAAUUGUUUCUGUGAAUAACUCGGCCUUAGCCAGCAACACGCAAACGUGGAAGCCGACCAGGCCCCAGAAGAUGUCUCCAGUGGGGCCUGCCCUUGGCUAGGUAGGAGUCGGGAAAGUGAGCUUUUUUCAGCUAUCUAGGUUAUGGGCAGCUGGCUGUUCCUGAGGGCAGGACCUUAGCCCUGGCGAUGUGGGGAGGGGGUGCCGUUGUCUCUGGUACCCCCCAGAGCUUCCUCUAAUCCUGCCCCUGUCACCCCACUUUGUCCUCAUCUCCCUCCACACCCCACCUCCAAACUGAUGACUCCCUCUUCCCCCACCUUUGCUAUGGGAUCCCAGAGUCUGGGGCUUCCUUGCAUCGCAGCAUUAUUGGGAAACACUGAUAAGAGCCUCAUUAACUAGGAACGGCCCCAAAAAGUCUGGCUCUUUCUUUUUGCCCUUUUCACCCUGAAAACCCAGAGCCUUGGAGAUGUAGUUUGGAUUUUCUCUGGGGUCUGGCCGAGGCCUUACAGAUCCACAAGUUGCUAGUUAGUUGAGGGAUGGAGGGAGGAAGAUGGGGUCCAAGUCUGAGGUUUGGCUUGGAGGAGGAGGGAACGUCCGGUCUAGUGGGGACUUCAUUGAUCAGCCCCAUCUUGGUUAAUCACGGUUCUGGGGAACCUCAGGCUGCAAGAGGCCAGGGCAGAGGUCACUAUGACGAGCAGAGCCUGGGUCCAGCGGCAACGGUGGGGCAACUCUGUCCGGGUGACCCCUUCCUCCCUCCUCCUGGGAUUCUGAAACAGUCAGCGGCCACUUCUAGCCAUUCGCAUGCUGGUGACUGUGAGGUCCUCCAUUAUACUUUCCUUUUCUUGGGCUUUGGGAAUCUGCGGCUAAUGAAGUUUGGGCUUAGUUGGGUUUCCUCCUGGCAGAGUUGUGCAUCCUGUGCAGAUAACAUGGGGGGGGGGGGAACAAAGCAAACGUAGUAAGGAGGUAGAGGAGGUGAAUCUGGGAUGUCAGCCACCCUGAGACAGUAGAGAGGAGGGGGUUCAGGGUGCUGAUAGUGUGGUUACCAUUGAGAGAGACAGAGGGGAGAGAGAGAG
This 34153-nucleotide long non-coding RNA is filed under the name Sarcophilus harrisii (Tasmanian devil). Its description in RNAcentral is "lncRNA (ENSSHAG00000024822.1)". The record is from RNAcentral. Lineage: Eukaryota; Metazoa; Chordata; Mammalia; Dasyuromorphia; Dasyuridae.